UGCUUUUGUGGGGUGCUCGAGUGGCGAACGGGUGGGUAACACGUGAGUAACCUGCCCUUGACUUUGGGAUAACUUCAGGAAACUGGGGCUAAUACCGGAUAGGAGCUCCUGCUGCAUGGUGGGGGUUGGAAAGUUUCGGCGGUUGGGGAUGGACUCGCGGCUUAUCAGCUUGUUGGUGGGGUAGUGGCUUACCAAGGCUUUGACGGGUAGCCGGCCUGAGAGGGUGACCGGCCACAUUGGGACUGAGAUACGGCCCAG
RNAcentral lists this ribosomal RNA (258 nucleotides) under uncultured Actinomycetales bacterium. RNAcentral describes it as "partial 16S ribosomal RNA". It matches the Rfam family "Bacterial small subunit ribosomal RNA", at positions 76 to 334 of the family's 1533-position model. Lineage: Bacteria; Bacillati; Actinomycetota; Actinomycetes; Actinomycetales. The record is from RNAcentral.